CCUACGGGUGGCAGCAGUGGGGGAUAUUGGACAAUGGGGGAAACCCUGAUCCAGCGACGCCGCGUGAGUGAAGAAGUAUUUCGGUAUGUAAAGCUCUAUCAGCAGGGAAGAAAGAAAUGACGGUACCUGAGUAAGAAGCCCCGGCUAACUACGUGCCAGCAGCCGCGGUAAUACGUAGGGGGCAAGCGUUAUCCGGAAUUACUGGGUGUAAAGGGAGCGUAGACGGUAAUGCAAGUCUGGAGGGAAAGGCGGGGGCUCAACCCCCGGACUGCUCUGGAAACUGUGUAACUGGAGUGCAGGAGAGGCAGGCGGAAUUCCUAGUGUAGCGGUGAAAUGCGUAGAUAUUAGGAGGAACACCAGUGGCGAAGGCGGCCUGCUGGACUGUAACUGACGUUGAGGCUCGAAAGCGUGGGGAGCAAACAGGAUUAGAUACCCGGGUAGUC
This 443-nucleotide ribosomal RNA is filed under the name uncultured bacterium. Its description in RNAcentral is "partial 16S ribosomal RNA". It matches the Rfam family "Bacterial small subunit ribosomal RNA", at positions 338 to 795 of the family's 1533-position model. The record is from RNAcentral.